Molecule: ribosomal RNA, 500 nt
Filed under: uncultured Bacteroidota bacterium
Lineage: Bacteria; Pseudomonadati; Bacteroidota
Description: bacterial SSU rRNA
Rfam family: Bacterial small subunit ribosomal RNA
Source: RNAcentral
GUAGCUUGCUACUUGCUGACGACCGGCGCACGGGUGCGUAACGCGUAUAGAAUCUACCUUGUACUAGGGGAUAGCCUUUGGAAACGAAGAUUAAUACCCUAUAGUAAGUAUUUAUGGCAUCAUUUAUACUUUAAAGAUUACGGUACAAGAUGACUAUGCGUCCUAUUAGUUUGUUGGUGAGGUAACGGCUCACCAAGACUUCGAUAGGUAGGGGCCCUGAGAGGGGGAUCCCCCACACUGGUACUGAGACACGGACCAGACUCCUACGGGAGGCAGCAGUGAGGAAUAUUGGACAAUGGAGGCAACUCUGAUCCAGCCAUGCCGCGUGCAGGAUGACGGCCCUAUGGGUUGUAAACUGCUUUUAUGUAGGAAGAAACACUCUCACGUGUGAGAGCUUGACGGUACUACAAGAAUAAGGACCGGCUAACUCCGUGCCAGCAGCCGCGGUAAUACGGAGGGUCCAAGCGUUAUCCGGAAUCAUUGGGUUUAAAGGGUCCGUA